Pelobates cultripes (western spadefoot toad) is the source of this 227-nucleotide non-coding RNA. Lineage: Eukaryota; Metazoa; Chordata; Amphibia; Anura; Pelobatidae. The record is from the annotation of a GenBank genome assembly.
UUACUACGACACGUCCAACAAACUAGAUCACCUGAACUGCCCAAAGUGCAACACAUUUCCAUAAUAGAGAAGAUGUGCAUGGGUCUCAUGCCGCACAAAAAGGUUAUCUCUGUCUGCUAUGAUUCACUACUAUGGAACACGAAACCCCUGUUACCCAAACAUACUAAAGAGUGGGGGAAGGACCUGGGCCAGGAAAUUCCUGACACCCCCUGGACCAGGGCUUUUAC